UUCUAUAACAUUUAAAUCCAUUUCCCUUAUAUUAUUUUAUCGUUUUCUCUAUGAAAAAGUCGACUUCUUGUAGGUCAGCCGACUGACAAACAUACUUUUCAAUCAUCAGUUUUUGGUGUUUAUAUAUACAAUCCUAAAAAACCAAUCAUAAACACCAACAUAAAACUAGUUCACGUAUUUUUUAUUUAUUUUUGUUCUUUCAAGAGAGAACAUGAGUUUGUUCAUUAAGCCUGUUUCAAUCUUCUUGAUGUUUAUUUUGAUGAUAAGUUGUGGGUUCGAGUCUCAUCAUCAGUCGAUUAUAUUUGCACAAGCAAGACCACUUUCGCUCGACCCUCAACAAAGAUAUGCAAGGAUUUUCAAUACACUUGGAUUGACAUGUAAUUGUUGUGAUAGUCUUGGUGAAAAUUGCACAAGUAGUUGGAAUGGAACAUGCCCUAAUCUCCAAUGCAAUCCUUGGAGAUUAAAUUAAAGGAAAAUGAUGGGUGUUGGUGAAUAACCUAUCAUAGGUGCUGCUAAAGAGCUAAUAUAAGCAUUUCUUGGUUGCUCUCUUCACAAAGUUUUCAAAUUAAAGAUUAACGUAUACAUUUGAUAAACUUCAGGAUAGUACUCUAGCAGCAUAUACGUUAUCCCAUGUCCAAUUUUGUCAUAUUUGUAAUACUUAGCCCUCAUUUGGCUGUAAAUAAAAGCAUGUACAGUGACAAUUAA
This is a long non-coding RNA of Erigeron canadensis, 705 nucleotides long. RefSeq lists it as uncharacterized. The record is from RefSeq and is a predicted model, not a curated record. The transcript has 2 exons. NCBI's taxonomy places the organism in Eukaryota, Viridiplantae, Streptophyta, Magnoliopsida, Asterales, Asteraceae.